GACUGGAUACCUGAGUCGGGGUCGAGCGUGAGACUCUUAAUCACAGGGUUGUGGGUUCAAGCCCCGCGUUGGGCA
This is a non-coding RNA of Podarcis lilfordi (Lilford's wall lizard), 75 nucleotides long. The record is from the annotation of a GenBank genome assembly. Lineage: Eukaryota; Metazoa; Chordata; Lepidosauria; Squamata; Lacertidae.